AUGAACCUGCUGCUGAUUUUCCUCUUCCUGCUGGAGGCGCCUUCAGGGGUCCUCUCCCAAGUGACGCUGAAGGAAACGGGCCCGGGAGCGGCGAAGCCCGGGGAGUCCCUGACCGUCACUUGCACCAUCUCGGGAGACUCAGUUUCCAACACCGGAGUUGCCUGGGACUGGGCUCGGCAGCCCGCAGGGAAAGGGCUGGAAUGGGCGGGGCGCAUUUACUACAGAUCUACUGGAUGGCACACUCAGUACCCCAGCGCGCUGCAGGGCCGAGUGACCAUCUCACCGGACACCUCCAGGAACCAGGUCUCGCUGCAGCUGCGCUCGCUGACAGCUGCGGACACCGCCACCUAUUACUGCACCAGAGACACAGUGACACAGCGAACACAGAGACUGGUACAAAAAGGGGAAGCGGCUUUUCAACAGUGGAGAGCAUAA
Non-coding RNA from Pelodiscus sinensis (Chinese soft-shelled turtle), 435 nucleotides. The record is from the annotation of a RefSeq genome assembly. NCBI's taxonomy places the organism in Eukaryota, Metazoa, Chordata, Testudines, Trionychidae.